ACUCCGUGAUAGCUGGUUCUCCCCGAAAUGCAUUUAGGUGCAGCGUUGCGUGGUCCCUGGUGGAGGUAGAGCUACUGGAUGGCCGAUGGGCCCGAUGGGUUACUGACGUCAGCCAAACUCCGAAUGCCAUUAGGUGUAGCGUGGCAGUGAGACUGCGGGGGAUAAGCUUCGUAGUCGAGAGGGAAACAGCCCAGAUCAUCAGCUAAGGCCCCUAAGCGUACGCUAAGUGGGAAAGGAUGUGGAGUCGCGGUGACAACCAGGAGGUUGGCUUAGAAGCAGCCAUCCUUGAAAGAGUGCGUAAUAGCUCACUGGUCAAGUGGUUCUGCGCCGACAAUGUAGCGGGGCUCAAGCGCACCGCCGAAGCCGUGGCAGCAGCGCUUUUCGCCCUCCUCCCCCCUUCUUGGAUGGGGUGGUGGGUGCGCUGCUGGGUAGGGGAGCGUCCUGCGCGGGGCGAAGCCCGGGGGUGACCCCUGGUGGACCGCGUGGGAGUGAGAAUGCAGGCAUGAGUAACGAAUUCUGCGGUGGGAAUCCGCAGCGCCGAUUGACUAAGGGUUCCAGGGCCAGGUUCAUCCGCCCUGGGUUAGUCGGGUCCUAAGGCGAGGCCGACAGGCGUAGUCGAUGGUCGACCAGUUGAUAUUCUGGUACCGCGCGGCGACCGCCAGUGCCGAUACCGCUGUGCUAACCGCCCGCACCGCCCCUCCUGCGCUUUCGGGCGCGGGGGCGGGCCGUGUCGCGGGGCCCCGGUGGUGGAGGCAAGCGUGUUGACAGGGGUGACGCAGGAAGGUAGCCGCAAUGCGCCGGUGGUUGUGCGUAUUCAAGGCUGUGGCCCGUCCCCCAGGCAAAUCCGGGGGGCAUGUGGGUGAGGGCUGAGGAGGGACACACGCGUGUGUGGACUUGUGGUGAUCCUAUGCUGCCGAGAAAAACCCCGACGUGAGGGCGCCGCGCGCCCGUACCCCAAACCGACUCAGGUGGUCAGGUAGAGCAUACCGAGGCGUUCGAGUGAAUCAUGGUUAAGGAACUCGGCAAAAUUCCUCCGUAACUUCGGGAUAAGGAGGACCCCUUGGCCUGCCCCCGCCGCGCGCGGGGGCGGGGCCGGGGGGUCGCAGAGAAUAGGGAGAAGCGACUGUUUAUCAAAAACACAGGUGCGUGCGAAGCCGUAAGGCGAUGUAUACGCACUGACGCCUGCCCGGUGCUGGAAGGUUAAGAGGAACCGUUAACACCCCCCGGGGUGUGAAGCGGUGAAUUUAAGCCCCAGUAAACGGCGGUGGUAACUAUAACCAUCCUAAGGUAGCGAAAUUCCUUGUCGGGUAAGUUCCGACCUGCACGAAUGGCGUAACGACUUCCCCGCUGUCUCCACCAUGAGCUCGGCGAAAUUGCAGUACGAGUAAAGAUGCUCGUUUCGCGCAGAAGGACGGAAAGACCCCGGGACCUUUACUAUAGCUUGGUAUUGGUGUUCGCUUGGACUUGUGUAGGAUAGGUGGGAGACUGUGAAGCUGCCGCGCCAGCGGUGGUGGAGUCGUCGUUGAAAUACCAUUCUGGUUCAAGCGGUCACCUCAACCUUGGCCCGUGAUCCGGGUUGGGGACAGUGCCUGGUGGGUAGUUUAACUGGGGCGGUUGCCUCCUAAAAUGUAACGGAGGCGCUCAAAGGUUCCCUCAGCCUGGUUGGUAAUCAGGUGGCGAGUGCAAGUGUACAAGGGAGCUUGACUGUGAGACCGACGGGUCGAGCAGGUGCGAAAGCAGGAACUAGUGAUCC
This 1753-nucleotide ribosomal RNA is filed under the name human oral metagenome. Its description in RNAcentral is "bacterial LSU rRNA". It matches the Rfam family "Bacterial large subunit ribosomal RNA", at positions 837 to 2421 of the family's 2925-position model. The record is from RNAcentral.